RNAcentral lists this transfer RNA (68 nucleotides) under Marmota monax (woodchuck). RNAcentral describes it as "tRNA.Ala". Lineage: Eukaryota; Metazoa; Chordata; Mammalia; Rodentia; Sciuridae. The record is from RNAcentral.
GGAUAUAGCUCAGUUGGUAGAGUGCUUGCUUUGCAAGCACAAGGCCCUGAGUUCGACACCCAGCACCA